CAAUACGGAGUGGCAGACGGGUGAGUAACACGUGGGAACGUGCCUUUUGGUUCGGAACAACACAGGGAAACUUGUGCUAAUACCGGAUAAGCCCUUACGGGGAAAGAUUUAUCGCCAAAAGAUCGGCCCGCGUCUGAUUAGCUAGUUGGUGAGGUAACGGCUCACCAAGGCUACGAUCAGUAGCUGGUCUGAGAGGAUGAUCAGCCACACUGGGACUGAGACACGGCCCAG
This 231-nucleotide ribosomal RNA is filed under the name uncultured bacterium. RNAcentral describes it as "partial 16S ribosomal RNA". It matches the Rfam family "Bacterial small subunit ribosomal RNA", at positions 86 to 334 of the family's 1533-position model. The record is from RNAcentral.